This 301-nucleotide ribosomal RNA is filed under the name uncultured bacterium. RNAcentral's name for it is "partial 16S ribosomal RNA". It matches the Rfam family "Bacterial small subunit ribosomal RNA", at positions 509 to 807 of the family's 1533-position model. The record is from RNAcentral.
CAGUAGCCGCGGUAAUACGUAGGGCGCAAGCGUUGUCCGGAAUUAUUGGGCGUAAAGAGCUCGUAGGCGGUCUGUCGCGUCUGGUGUGAAAUCCCGAGGCUCAACCUCGGGCUUGCAUCGGGUACGGGCAGACUAGAGUGCGGUAGGGGAGACUGGAAUUCCUGGUGUAGCGGUGGAAUGCGCAGAUAUCAGGAGGAACACCGAUGGCGAAGGCAGGUCUCUGGGCCGCAACUGACGCUGAGGAGCGAAAGCAUGGGGAGCGAACAGGAUUAGAGACCCCGGUAGUCCCUGUCUCUUAUAC